Molecule: long non-coding RNA, 904 nt
Filed under: Triticum aestivum (bread wheat)
Lineage: Eukaryota; Viridiplantae; Streptophyta; Magnoliopsida; Poales; Poaceae
Description: long non-coding RNA (TAES_LNC010032)
Source: RNAcentral
GCGCAGUGGACCUGUCAAUGGAGAGGGUUGUGUUGCGGCACUGUCACUUCUCAAACUUGGCCUUCGUUGGGCUACACCUUCCUGAUUUCGUAAGACCUUCAAUAGAAAGACAACAAUAAGACAGUCACAAACAUAUGCAUAGGCUACAACUCAGUAGCUACAUUCACAAACAUAUGCAUCACAGCUCUAUCAAUGACAACAGUUUUCAAGAAACUUGCAUAUGCAUUCAGCUCCAUUAGUGACAACAACGGACAGCAACCAAAUAUAGUGCAUCCUAGUACAAACAAACUUCAAUCAAGUUUCACAGCACACUACUACAUAGACAGAUGGCAACUAAAAUGUCAAUUCCUUUGCACUGGGAUCAUAAAACUAAAUAGGUUUUGAACUGAACCGUAUAGUAAUCACAGUCUCCAGGGUUACUGUACUCCAACCUUUUCAAAAUGACAAAAAAAGAGAGCAUUUUUUUAACCUCAAGAGAAGUGUCAAUAAUGGACAGCAACCAAAUAUAGUGCAUCUUAUUACUAAACAAUGACCAAUUGCUGCCAGUAGAGAACUCUCUGCUGCUGCUAGGGUUUCGACACCCGUACUGAAAGAAGUGUACAAGAUGCCGCUACCUUUUUCUGUGUAUUGCUUGAGCAAUGCACGUUGGUUGGGAGGCGCUGGGCUGGGAGGGAAACAGGAGGACGAGGCGGUGGGGCGGAUCUGGAAGACGAGGGAGGCGCCGGUCGAUGGGGAGAGAGGCGGCGCUGGAGUUGCUGGACGUCAAGGGGGUCUGGAGUGGCUGGACGGCGAGGGGGCGGCUGGACGUCGACAAGGCAGCGCUGGAACGAUGGAGGAGGCCGGAGGCGGCGGUGGAUUGGGGAUGGAGGCGGCGCGCUGGAGUGGCUGGAGGGGAAGGGGAGAG